Long non-coding RNA from Gymnodraco acuticeps, 165 nucleotides. RefSeq lists it as uncharacterized. The record is from RefSeq and is a predicted model, not a curated record. The transcript is spliced from 3 exons. NCBI's taxonomy places the organism in Eukaryota, Metazoa, Chordata, Actinopteri, Perciformes, Bathydraconidae.
AUGGAUUAAACGGUGUGAGAGGACCACCAGGUGACAACGGAGGAUCUCUGGCAGGAGCUGAAGGUGACUCUGGGGAACAAGGCCCACCUGGCCAACCUGGCCCGGACGGAGAAGAAGAAUCCAAACAAUUUCCUCUAGAAAUUCUUCCAGCCAAAGGUUACAAGG